UACGUAGGGGGCAAGCGUUGUCCGGAUUUAUUGGGCGUAAAGAGCGUGUAGGCGGCCAUACAGGUCCGUUGUGAAAACUGGAGGCUUAACCUCCAGACGUCGAUGGAAACCGUAUGGCUAGAGUCCGGAAGAGGAGAGUGGAAUUCCUGGUGUAGCGGUGAAAUGCGCAGAUAUCAGGAAGAACACCCGUGGCGAAGGCGGCUCUCUGGGACGGUACUGACGCUGAGACGCGAAAGCCAGGGGAGCAAACGGG
RNAcentral lists this ribosomal RNA (253 nucleotides) under uncultured bacterium. RNAcentral describes it as "partial 16S ribosomal RNA". It matches the Rfam family "Bacterial small subunit ribosomal RNA", at positions 524 to 776 of the family's 1533-position model. The record is from RNAcentral.